AGUAGUGCCAACAUAACGACUAAUUUCUUGAAGUGAAGACGAAGAAUAGUGGAAUGUGAAUUGAAAACAAAUUCCUCUGCCCCCUCCGAAAGACUAGGAAAAAUAUUUGUAACUUUAAAAUAAUUAUUAAAAUAACCAAACAUGGUCCGCCGACAGCGUGAUCAGAGCACCACAGAGGAUGAAAUCGUAAUUGACACACCGCCGCUGAAAAAACAUAAAAGGCAUAAGCACAAAAA
This is a long non-coding RNA of Helicoverpa zea (corn earworm), 236 nucleotides long. RefSeq lists it as uncharacterized. The record is from RefSeq and is a predicted model, not a curated record. NCBI's taxonomy places the organism in Eukaryota, Metazoa, Arthropoda, Insecta, Lepidoptera, Noctuidae. The transcript has 2 exons.